CUACAUGAUGAAAAACAGGUAAUGCAGCACCAGAUUUGAGUAGAGAAUGAUGUGGCAAAAGACAUCCCAAUACUCUCUGGAA
Diospyros lotus (date-plum) is the source of this 82-nucleotide small nucleolar RNA. NCBI's taxonomy places the organism in Eukaryota, Viridiplantae, Streptophyta, Magnoliopsida, Ericales, Ebenaceae. The record is from RefSeq and is a predicted model, not a curated record.